Molecule: transfer RNA, 74 nt
Filed under: Myxococcales bacterium
Lineage: Bacteria; Pseudomonadati; Myxococcota; Myxococcia; Myxococcales
Description: tRNA-Gln
Rfam family: tRNA
About the family: Transfer RNA (tRNA) molecules are approximately 80 nucleotides in length. Their secondary structure includes four short double-helical elements and three loops (D, anti-codon, and T loops). Further hydrogen bonds mediate the characteristic L-shaped molecular structure. tRNAs have two regions of fundamental functional importance: the anti-codon, which is responsible for specific mRNA codon recognition, and the 3' end, to which the tRNAs corresponding amino acid is attached (by aminoacyl-tRNA synthetases). tRNAs cope with the degeneracy of the genetic code in two manners: having more than one tRNA (with a specific anti-codon) for a particular amino acid; and 'wobble' base-pairing, i.e. permitting non-standard base-pairing at the 3rd anti-codon position.
Source: RNAcentral
UCCGGGAUGGUCCAGUCUGGUUAGGAUGACGGGUUCUGAUCUCGUAGGCCCAGGUUCGAAUCCUGGUCCCGGAA